CAGAGGUGGCAAGCGUUGUUCGGAAUUACUGGGCGUAAAGGGCGCGUAGGCGGCCUUCUAAGUCAGACGUGAAAUCCCCAGGCUUAACUUGGGAACUGCGUCUGAUACUGGAGGGCUCGAGUGCGGGAGAGGGAUGUGGAAUUCCAGGUGUAGCGGUGAAAUGCGUAGAUAUCUGGAGGAACACCGGUGGCGAAGGCGGCAUCCUGGACCGACACUGACGCUGAGGCGCGGAAGCUAGGGGAGCAAACGGGAUUAGAUACCCCGGUAGUCCUAGCCCUAAACGAUGAGUGCUUGGUGUGGCGGGUAUCGAUCCCUGCCGUGCCGAAGCUGACGCAUUAAGCACUCCGCUUGGGGAGUACGGUCGCAAGGCUG
RNAcentral lists this ribosomal RNA (372 nucleotides) under uncultured organism. RNAcentral describes it as "bacterial SSU rRNA". It matches the Rfam family "Bacterial small subunit ribosomal RNA", at positions 526 to 896 of the family's 1533-position model. The record is from RNAcentral.